AGCGAACGCUGGCGGCAGGCCUAACACAUGCAAGUCGAACGAACCUUUCGGGGUUAGUGGCGGACGGGUGAGUAACACGUGGGAACGUGCCUUUAGGUUCGGAAUAACUCAGGGAAACUUGUGCUAAUACCGAAUGUGCCCUUCGGGGGAAAGAUUUAUCGCUUUAGAGCGGCCCGCGUCUGAUUAGCUAGUUGGUUGAGGUAAUGGCUCACCAAGGCGACGAUCAGUAGCUGGUCUGAGAGGAUGAUCAGCCACAUUGGGACUGAGACACGGCCCAAACUCCUACGGGAGGCAGCAGUGGGGAAUCUUGCGCAAUGGGCGAAAGCCUGACGCAGCCAUGCCGCGUGAAUGAUGAAGGUCUUAGGAUUGUAAAAUUCUUUCACCGGGGACGAUAAUGACGGUACCCGGAGAAGAAGCCCCGGCUAACUUCGUG
This 433-nucleotide ribosomal RNA is filed under the name uncultured bacterium. RNAcentral's name for it is "partial 16S ribosomal RNA". It matches the Rfam family "Bacterial small subunit ribosomal RNA", at positions 29 to 507 of the family's 1533-position model. The record is from RNAcentral.